Molecule: ribosomal RNA, 414 nt
Filed under: Diphya sp. LT-2015
Lineage: Eukaryota; Metazoa; Arthropoda; Arachnida; Araneae; Tetragnathidae
Description: partial 16S ribosomal RNA
Rfam family: Bacterial large subunit ribosomal RNA
Source: RNAcentral
AUAAUUUUAAGUAAAACCUGCUCCAUGUAACAUAAAUAGCCGCAGAAUUUUUAACUGUGCUAAGGUAGCAUAAUCAUUAGUCUUUUAAUUGAAGACUAGAAUGAACGGUUCAACAUUUCAACUUCUUUCUUAAAUUUAAUUUAUAUAAAUUUCACUAAAUAUAAAAAUUUAUUUAUAAAUAAAUUAGACGACAAGACCCUGUCGAACUUUACUUUAGUUCGACUGGGGCAGUCAAAAAAUUAAAAUCUUUAAAACAGGUAUUUAACAAAAAAUCUAGUAACACUAAAAAUUAAACAAGUUACCGCAGGGAUAACAGCGUCAUAAAUUUUUAAAGUUCUUAUUUAAAAAUAAACUUGCGACCUCGAUGUUGAAUUAAAUUCCUAUAAAACGCAAAAGUUCUAAAAGGGGGUCUGU